This 203-nucleotide ribosomal RNA is filed under the name Stephanopyxis turris. RNAcentral's name for it is "partial Bacterial large subunit ribosomal RNA". It matches the Rfam family "Bacterial large subunit ribosomal RNA", at positions 1246 to 1447 of the family's 2925-position model. Lineage: Eukaryota; Bacillariophyta; Melosirophyceae; Stephanopyxales; Stephanopyxidaceae. The record is from RNAcentral.
GUCUGUGAAGGAGAUGGGGUGACCCUCUCUGGAGAUAUCGGAAGUGCGAAUGCUGACAUGAGUAGCGACAAACAGUGCGAGAAACACUGUCGCCGAAAGUCCAAGGGUUCCUGCGCAAGGUUAAUCCACGCAGGGUUAGUCGGCCCCUAAGGCGAGGGCGAAAGCCGUAGUCGAUGGGAAUCAGGUGAAUAUUCCUGAACCUG